RNAcentral lists this non-coding RNA (26 nucleotides) under Mus musculus (house mouse). The record is from RNAcentral. Lineage: Eukaryota; Metazoa; Chordata; Mammalia; Rodentia; Muridae.
UAAAAGAUUUAUUGCAUUAACCACAU